This 119-nucleotide non-coding RNA is filed under the name Gracilibacillus boraciitolerans. RNAcentral describes it as "SAM-I sequence". It matches the Rfam family "SAM riboswitch aptamer (S box leader)". From Rfam's summary of the family: The SAM riboswitch is found upstream of a number of genes which code for proteins involved in methionine or cysteine biosynthesis in Gram-positive bacteria. RNAcentral also lists the same sequence under 1 other name. The record is from RNAcentral. Lineage: Bacteria; Bacillati; Bacillota; Bacilli; Caryophanales; Bacillaceae.
UUCUUAUCCAGAGAGGUGGAGGGGGGGCAGGCCCUUAGAAACCUCGGCAACAGGUUUUGAAUCGUAAACACUGUGCCAAAUCCUGCGGGAAAUAUCUAUAGGAACCCGAAAGAUAAGAA